This 68-nucleotide transfer RNA is filed under the name Dogania subplana. RNAcentral's name for it is "tRNA-Pro". It matches the Rfam family "tRNA". From Rfam's summary of the family: Transfer RNA (tRNA) molecules are approximately 80 nucleotides in length. The record is from RNAcentral. Lineage: Eukaryota; Metazoa; Chordata; Testudines; Trionychidae.
CAAAAGAUAGUUUAUUUAGAAUUCCGGUUUUGGGUAUCGGGGGAGAAGGUUUGAAUCCUUUUUUUUGA